Molecule: non-coding RNA, 167 nt
Organism: Pimephales promelas (fathead minnow)
Lineage: Eukaryota; Metazoa; Chordata; Actinopteri; Cypriniformes; Leuciscidae
Source: RefSeq, a predicted model, not a curated record
GAAGUAAACAGAGAGAAACCAUGUGAUCAAUCAUAGAACCCCAUCCAAUCACGUUUCCGGUCAAUUGCACUCCGGUUCAGUGGAGGCCCAUUCGCGAACUCCCCAAAUGUGGGAAUCUCGACUGCAUAAUUUAUGGUAGUGGGGGACUGCGUUCGCGCUCUCCCCUG